This 160-nucleotide small nuclear RNA is filed under the name Triticum aestivum (bread wheat). RNAcentral's name for it is "U1 spliceosomal RNA". It matches the Rfam family "U1 spliceosomal RNA". From Rfam's summary of the family: U1 is a small nuclear RNA (snRNA) component of the spliceosome (involved in pre-mRNA splicing). The record is from Rfam by way of RNAcentral. Lineage: Eukaryota; Viridiplantae; Streptophyta; Magnoliopsida; Poales; Poaceae.
AUACUUACCUGGACGGGGUCGACGGCUGAUCAAGAAGAGUCGUGGCCUAGGCUAGUGGUCCACAUUGCACUUGGUGGAUGUGCUGGCCUACCAUCUCCCCAAGUGGGAGAGUGGACGUCGUAAUUUGUGGUAGAGGGGGUACGCGUUCGCGCGGCCCCUG